Molecule: ribosomal RNA, 431 nt
Filed under: uncultured bacterium
Lineage: Bacteria
Description: bacterial SSU rRNA
Rfam family: Bacterial small subunit ribosomal RNA
Source: RNAcentral
AACGCGAAGAACCUUACCAAGGCUUGACAUAAUAGUGAAUAUGGCAGAGAUGUCAUAGUCCUUCGGGACACUAUUACAGGUGGUGCAUGGUUGUCGUCAGCUCGUGUCGUGAGAUGUUGGGUUAAGUCCCGCAACGAGCGCAACCCCUGUUGUUAGUUGAUAACAUUAAGAUGAUCACUCUAACGAGACUGCCGGUGAUAAAUCGGAGGAAGGUGGGGACGACGUCAAAUCAUCAUGCCCCUUAUGUCUUGGGCUACACACGUACUACAAUGGCUAUUACAGAGGGAAGCAAGACCGUAAGGUGGAGCAAAUCCCCAAAAAUAGUCCCAGUUCAGAUUGUGGGCUGCAACCCGCCCACAUGAAGUCGGAAUUGCUAGUAAUGGCAGGUCAGCAUACUGCCGUGAAUACGUUCCCGGGCCUUGUACACACCG